Molecule: ribosomal RNA, 259 nt
Filed under: uncultured bacterium
Lineage: Bacteria
Description: partial 16S ribosomal RNA
Rfam family: Bacterial small subunit ribosomal RNA
Source: RNAcentral
CUGGGUUGGGAUGAGUGGCGAACGGGUGAGUAACACGUGAGUAACCUGCCCUCUUCUUUGGGAUAACGGUCGGAAACGGCUGCUAAUACCGGGUAUUCACUGUCCUUCGCAUGGGGGGUGGGUGGAAAGGGUUUUUUUCUUGGUGGGGGAUGGGCUCGCGGCCUAUCAGCUUGUUGGUGGGGUGAUGGCUUACCAAGGCUUUGACGGGUAACCGGCCUGAGAGGGUGACCGGUCACAUUGGGACUGAGAUACGGCCCAG